UAAACUAUAUUUGAUAAAAUUAAUGAACUUUUAAAGCUCAAAUAAUAAAUUUACAUAUCAUUUAAUACCUAUUAGCGAUAGCCUAGUUUAUAAACUUAUAGUAUAAGAGAUUCGAGUUUUUGUUAGGGGGUUAAAUUAGUGCCAGCAGCUGCGGUUAGACUAAACUCUUUUUGCACAGUAAGGGCUGUUUAUUGUAUUAGAGCUCAACUUUAAAUGGUAGAAAAUAAAAUCCUAUCAUAUAACUACUGUAAACAAAAAGCAAGUAAUAUAAUAGGAUUAGAUACCCUAGUAUUUUUGUAGGUCAAACCUUACCACUAAACUUAAAAUAAGAAUAUUUGGCGGCUUUAAGUUAUUAGAGGGGCUUGUCAAUAAACGAUACUCCGCGUUUAAUUUUACUUAAUUUAGUUUUGUAUACCUUCAUAUAGGUUGUCUUUUAUAGUUAAUAACUUUAAAAAAUAGAUCAAGGUGCAGAGAUUUUUAAGCUAGAUUAGCCACAAUACUUACCAGUAGACGAAAAAUUAAGCUAUCAGGCGGAUUUAACUUUAAUUACUAUAUUUAUGAAUUAGUGUCUUUAAGUGUUCAGAUCGCCCGUCACUCUCUAUGGGAUAAGUCGAAACAAAGUAAGCUAACUGGAAAGUGAGCCUA
Molecule: ribosomal RNA, 645 nt
Filed under: Hyalella latimana
Lineage: Eukaryota; Metazoa; Arthropoda; Malacostraca; Amphipoda; Hyalellidae
Description: 12S ribosomal RNA
Source: RNAcentral